Molecule: ribosomal RNA, 253 nt
Filed under: uncultured bacterium
Lineage: Bacteria
Description: partial 16S ribosomal RNA
Rfam family: Bacterial small subunit ribosomal RNA
Source: RNAcentral
UACGUAGGGGGCUAGCGUUGUCCGGAAUCAUUGGGCGUAAAGCGCGUGUAGGCGGCCCGGUAAGUCCGCUGUGAAAGUCGGGGGCUCAACCCUCGAAUGCCGGUGGAUACUGUCGGGCUAGAGUACGGAAGAGGCGAGUGGAAUUCCUGGUGUAGCGGUGAAAUGCGCAGAUAUCAGGAGGAACACCAGUGGCGAAGGCGGCUUUCUGGACGGUAACUGACGCUGAGACGCGAAAGCGUGGGGAGCAAACAGG